AUUGACUCGAUAACACUCCGGUCGAAACUCUGGCACGCUUUCGACAGGCUACACAGACUAACUACGCUUAGUUCGCACCAACUAUAGCACAGGUGAACCUGACUCAAUGCUCAGACCAAGAGAAUACAAGAUGAAAGAAUG
Long non-coding RNA from Ipomoea nil (Japanese morning glory), 141 nucleotides. RefSeq lists it as uncharacterized. Lineage: Eukaryota; Viridiplantae; Streptophyta; Magnoliopsida; Solanales; Convolvulaceae. The record is from RefSeq and is a predicted model, not a curated record. The transcript has 3 exons.